RNAcentral lists this ribosomal RNA (519 nucleotides) under uncultured bacterium. RNAcentral describes it as "partial 16S ribosomal RNA". It matches the Rfam family "Bacterial small subunit ribosomal RNA", at positions 29 to 507 of the family's 1533-position model. The record is from RNAcentral.
ACGAACGCUGGCGGCGUGCCUAAUACAUGCAAGUCGAACGCACUCUCGUUUAGAUUGAAGGAGUUUGCUCCUGAUUGAUAAACAUUUGAGUGAGUGGCGGACGGGUGAGUAACACGUGGGUAACCUGCCCUAAAGCGGGGGAUAACAUUUGGAAACAGAUGCUAAUACCGCAUAAAACCUAACACCGCAUGGUGUAGGGUUGAAAGAUGGUUUCGGCUAUCACUUUAGGAUGGACCCGCGGUGCAUUAGUUAGUUGGUGAGGUAAAGGCUCACCAAGACCGUGAUGCAUAGCCGACCUGAGAGGGUAAUCGGCCACACUGGGACUGAGACACGGCCCAGACUCCUACGGGAGGCAGCAGUAGGGAAUCUUCCACAAUGGACGAAAGUCUGAUGGAGCAACGCCGCGUGAGUGAAGAAGGUUUUCGGAUCGUAAAACUCUGUUGUUGGAGAAGAAUGUAUCUGAUAGUAACUGAUCAGGUAGUGACGGUAUCCAACCAGAAAGCCACGGCUAACUACGUG